UUAGCUUCAAUUUUGCAUCCUCAUGCAUCAAAUUCCUUGAGGGUAGCACCUAUAGGUGAGGAUCACAGAAUGGGCGGUCAUGCAGAUCUCCCUAAUGGUUCAAACCAUGGUGUUCCCUUCCAUCAGUCUCAUUCUUUCCCUGAUCCUAAGAUAAGCCAGUUCAGUGGAACAGUGUCGUCUUUGGGUGCCUCAAAUUCAAACGGUUCUGCUGUUAAAACUCAUCAGUCUCAUUCUUUCCCUGAGCCUAAGAUAAGCCAGUUCGGUGGAACAGUGUCAUCUUUGGGUGCCUCAAAUUCAAAUGGUUCUGCUGUUGAAACACUAUCAGGGCCACAGUUUCUGUGGGGCAGUCCAAA
RNAcentral lists this long non-coding RNA (353 nucleotides) under Nicotiana benthamiana. Its description in RNAcentral is "long non-coding RNA (NBEN_LNC030374)". The record is from RNAcentral. Lineage: Eukaryota; Viridiplantae; Streptophyta; Magnoliopsida; Solanales; Solanaceae.